Molecule: unclassified non-coding RNA, 253 nt
Filed under: uncultured Alphaproteobacteria bacterium
Lineage: Bacteria; Pseudomonadati; Pseudomonadota; Alphaproteobacteria
Description: contains 16S-23S intergenic spacer region
Rfam family: Bacterial small subunit ribosomal RNA
Source: RNAcentral
UACGAAGGGUGCUAGCGUUGUUCGGAUUUACUGGGCGUAAAGGGCACGCAGGCGGCCUGCCAAGUUGGAGGUGAAAUCCCAGGGCUCAACCCUGGAACUGCCUUCAAAACUGGCAGGCUAGAGAUCGAGAGAGGUGAGUGGAAUUCCUAGUGUAGAGGUGAAAUUCGUAGAUAUUAGGAGGAACACCAGUGGCGAAGGCGGCUCACUGGCUCGAUACUGACGCUGAGGUGCGAAAGCGUGGGGAGCAAACAGG